AGCAGUAGCCGCGGGAACACGUAGGGUGCAAGCGUUAAUCGGAAUUACUGGGCGUAAAGCGUGCGCAGGCGGUUUGUUAAGACAGAUGUGAAAUCCCCGGGCUUAACCUGGGAACUGCAUUUGUGACUGGCAAGCUAGAGUCUGGCAGAGGGGGGUGGAAUUCCGCGUGUAGCAGUGAAAUGCGUAGAUAUGCGGAGGAACACCGAUGGCGAAGGCAGCCCCCUGGGCCAACACUGACGCUCAUGCACGAAAGCGUGGGGAGCAAACAGGAUUAGAUACCCCUGUAGUCCCUGUCUCUUAUAC
This 303-nucleotide ribosomal RNA is filed under the name uncultured bacterium. Its description in RNAcentral is "partial 16S ribosomal RNA". It matches the Rfam family "Bacterial small subunit ribosomal RNA", at positions 507 to 807 of the family's 1533-position model. The record is from RNAcentral.